This 67-nucleotide transfer RNA is filed under the name Marmota monax (woodchuck). RNAcentral describes it as "tRNA.Ala". It matches the Rfam family "tRNA", at positions 6 to 65 of the family's 71-position model. From Rfam's summary of the family: Transfer RNA (tRNA) molecules are approximately 80 nucleotides in length. Their secondary structure includes four short double-helical elements and three loops (D, anti-codon, and T loops). Lineage: Eukaryota; Metazoa; Chordata; Mammalia; Rodentia; Sciuridae. The record is from RNAcentral.
GGCUGUAGCUCAAUGGUAGAGCACUUGCCUAGCAUACAUGAGGCCCUGGGUUCCACCCCCAGCAUCG